This 426-nucleotide ribosomal RNA is filed under the name uncultured bacterium. RNAcentral describes it as "partial 16S ribosomal RNA". It matches the Rfam family "Bacterial small subunit ribosomal RNA", at positions 354 to 796 of the family's 1533-position model. The record is from RNAcentral.
GUGAGGAAUUUUCCGCAAUGGGCGAAAGCCUGACGGAGCAAUGCCGCGUGAAGGAUGAAGGCCUAUGGGUUGUAAACUUCUUUUCUCAGAAAAGAAUUAUGACGGUAUCUGAGGAAUAAGCAUCGGCUGACUCUGUGCCAGCAGCCGCGGUAAGACAGAGGAUGCAAGCGUUAUCCGGAAUGAUUGGGCGUAAAGCGUCUGUAGGUUGUUUAAAAAGUAUUCUGUCAAAGAUUAGGGCUUAACCCUAGAUAGGCAGAAUAAACUUUUAAGCUAGAGUUUGGUAGAGGCAGAGGGAAUUCCCGGUGGAGCGGUGAAAUGCGUAGAUAUCGGGAGGAACACCAAAGGCGAAGGCACUCUGCUGGGCCAAUACUAACACUGAGAGACGAAAGCGAGGGGAGCAAAUGGGAUUAGAAACCCGAGUAGUCC